CCCUUAGAUGUCCUGGGCCGCACGCGCGCUACACUGAACGGAUCAGCGCGUUUUCCCUUCCCGAGAGGGACGGGUAACCUGCUGAACCCCGUUCGUGGUAGGGAUCGGGGCUUGCAAUUAUUCCCCGUGAACCAGGAAUGCCCAGUAUGUGCAAGUCAUAAGCUUGCGUUGAUUACGUCCCUGCCCUUUGUACACACCGCCCGUCGCUACUACCGAUUGAACGUUUUAGUGAGGUACUCGGACUGAGCCUCAGAAGAUUCACGUCUUUUGUGCUGCUCGGGAAGAUUCCCAAACUUGAGCGUUUAGAGGAAGUAAAAGUCGUAACA
Molecule: ribosomal RNA, 326 nt
Filed under: uncultured eukaryote
Lineage: Eukaryota
Description: partial 18S ribosomal RNA
Rfam family: Eukaryotic small subunit ribosomal RNA
Source: RNAcentral